AACCAAGGGACUGAAUCAUACAGUACGGUUAAAAGACAGUUAGGUGAUUAGUAGGUUUGGUUAUCAUACUAUUUGGAGGUAGAAUUCGAAUAUAGAUGAGCUACUUAAUAACAACCGAUGUACUGAAGCUGUGAUAACUCCGAGGGAAACUAGGAUUAGAUACCCUAUUAUUCAUAGAAGUAAAUAAGAAAAUUCUACCAGAGUACUAAGAAUAAAAAAUUUAAAACUCAAAGGGCUUGGCGGUGUUUUAGACUACUUAGGGGAACCUGUCUCGUAAUCGACAAUCCACGUUAAACCUAACCUUUUUUUGCAAUCAGUUUGUAUACCGUCGUCGUCAGGUAACUUUUAAGAUCUAAAUAGUUAGCUGAUUAAAUACUUGAAUUAGGACGUCAGAUCAAGGUGCAGCCAACAAAAAGGUGUAGAUGGGUUACAAUUAUGAAAUUAUAACUACGAAUAGCAAAGCUUAAACAGCGGCUAUGAAGGAGGACUUAAAAGUAAAAUAGACUAUAUAAAUAUCUUGAAUAAAGCUCUGAAACGUGC
Molecule: ribosomal RNA, 540 nt
Filed under: Condylomitra tuberosa
Lineage: Eukaryota; Metazoa; Mollusca; Gastropoda; Neogastropoda; Mitridae
Description: Mitra tuberosa partial 12S ribosomal RNA
Source: RNAcentral